RNAcentral lists this ribosomal RNA (305 nucleotides) under uncultured bacterium. RNAcentral describes it as "bacterial SSU rRNA". It matches the Rfam family "Bacterial small subunit ribosomal RNA", at positions 333 to 635 of the family's 1533-position model. The record is from RNAcentral.
AGGGUCCUACGGGAGGCAGCAGUGAGGAAUAUUGGUCAAUGGCCGGAAGGCUGAACCAGCCAAGUCGCGUGAGGGAAUAAGGCCCUAUGGGUCGUAAACCUCUUUUGUCAGGGAGCAACGCCGGCUACGUGUAGCCGGACUGAGAGUACCUGAAGAAAAAGCAUCGGCUAACUCCGUGCCAGCAGCCGCGGUAAUACGGAGGAUGCGAGCGUUAUCCGGAUUUAUUGGGUUUAAAGGGUGCGUAGGCGGAAUGCCAAGUCAGCGGUAAAAUCGAGGGGCACAACCUCGCGCCGCCGUUGAAACUG